RNAcentral lists this ribosomal RNA (253 nucleotides) under uncultured bacterium. Its description in RNAcentral is "partial 16S ribosomal RNA". It matches the Rfam family "Bacterial small subunit ribosomal RNA", at positions 524 to 776 of the family's 1533-position model. The record is from RNAcentral.
UACGUAGGUGACAAGCGUUGUCCGGAUUUACUGGGCGUAAAGAGCGCGCAGGCGGUCGUUCAAGUCGAGUGUGAAAGCCCCCGGCUCAACUGGGGAGGGUCAUUCGAUACUGAUCGACUCGAAGGCAGGAGAGGGUAGUGGAAUUCCCGGUGUAGUGGUGAAAUGCGUAGAGAUGUGGAGGAACACCAGUGGCGAAGGCGACUCUUUGGUCUGUAACUGACGCUGAGGCGCGAAAGCGUGGGGAGCAAACAGG